AGUGAACGCUGGCGGUAGGCCUAACACAUGCAAGUCGAACGGCAGCACAGUAAGAGCUUGCUCUUACGGGUGGCGAGUGGCGGACGGGUGAGGAAUACAUCGGAAUCUACUUUUUCGUGGGGGAUAACGUAGGGAGACUUACGCUAAUACCGCAUACGACCUACGGGUGAAAGCAGGGGAUCUUCGGACCUUGCGCGAUUGAAUGAGCCGAUGUCGGAUUAGCUAGUUGGCGGGGUAAAGGCCCACCAAGGCGACGAUCCGUAGCUGGUCUGAGAGGAUGAUCAGCCACACUGGAACUGAGGCACGGUCCAGACUCCUACGGGAGGCAGCAGUGGGGAAUAUUGGACAAUGGGCGCAAGCCUGAUCCAGCCAUACCGCGUGGGUGAAGAAGGCCUUCGGGUUGUAAAGCCCUUUUGUUGGGAAAGAAAAGCAGCAGGUUAAUACCCCGCUGUUCUGACGGUACCCAAAGAAUAAGCACCGGCUAACUUCGUG
Molecule: ribosomal RNA, 492 nt
Filed under: uncultured bacterium
Lineage: Bacteria
Description: partial 16S ribosomal RNA
Rfam family: Bacterial small subunit ribosomal RNA
Source: RNAcentral